GGGCGACGCCGGGGACUAAAGGGGGUUUGCUUAAAAUUCCUUCACAUUUCCCCAAGGGAGUCAAAUAAGGAAGGACAGGAACGGCAAGAAGGAAAUCAGGUUUCCGUAAUGUCGUCUUUAUAGUGUGUGUUUUGUUAAUUUGAGGAAACAACCCGUGCGUUUAUGUAUGGAAGGAGUUCAUCCCUGUGAGGGUGGUGAGGCCCUGGCACAGGUUGCCCAGAGAAGCUGUGGCUGCCCCAUCCCUGGAAGUGCUCAAGGACUGUCUGGAUGGGGCUUGAAGCAACCUGGGAUAGCGGAAGGUGUCCCUGCCAUGGGGGUUGGAACUGGAUGGUCUUUAAGGUUCCUUCCAACCCAAACCAUUCCAUGUAGCCCAAAUGGACACUGCGGCAGCAGCACAUAAUAAUGUUCAAUAAAGUAAACCCCAAAUUGUCUAAUUUCCUUCUGUUGUAGGUAAAUUUCGCUGGUGGUUAACCACAGGUCUUUUUAUUGCAGUCUUUCCCAGACUUUAUACCCAGCUGCUUUUAAAUGUUCCUCCACACCCUUCCAAUCAUGCCAGUUACCCUGAGCCCAUUCGUCUGAGGACUGAGGAUUUGGACUUACUCCAUGCUUUUGUGGCUGGAAGUACGAAACUUCAUCUGGCAAACAGUGCAGCUGUAAGGUUUCUCACCUGUGUGAGUUCUUACGUGGAGUUCAAGGUUGCUUAAACUCUCCACUGAAGUCUGUUCCAGAGGGAAGAGGAGAAAACACAUCAGUGUGGACAAAGAGCUGAGCACCACUUGGGGACAGAGCCUUCUAACACCAAACGCCCACAGAGAGAUGGAGCUGGGGAUUGAGAGACACCAAGUCCCAGCCCACUCUGCGUUCCAAUACUUUCUGCUCCAAGCAGAACUCCUUAUCACUAAGUUCACCUUGAACUCGAUGAAGCUGUAAGACUAGAGAAGAAAUUCAGUGUUAUGGUUAGGGCACAGCAGCCAGGAAGUUUGACUUCUAUUCCUGAUUUUUUUCUGCAGGUUUGUGAAAAUCCCUCCUGUUUGCAAAGUGUUUCAAGCUCUUCACAUUGCUUAAGAGAACAGAGCAGUACUCUUAUGUGUUUUCAGCUCUCAGUACUGGAAACAGAGUUUGAUUUAUUGACAUACACAGCAUUUCCCUAAAUCACGAGACAACUAUUACAAGGUAGAACUCAGGAAAACCUGGAAAUACAGAGCCUUUUCUCUGGUAAAUUGAGCAUGGUCCAUUCUACUGAAUUUGCUCUUUUUCUCUUCAUAGAAUCACGGAACAGUUUGAGAUGGAAGGGACCUUUUAAAGGUCAUUGAUUCCAACCCCUCUGCCAUGAGCAGGGACACCUUCCACUAUGCCAGGUUGCUCCAAAGCCCAUCCAACUUGGCCUUGAACAAUUCCAGGGAUGGGGCAGUUCUCUCGUGCCUUUUCGAUAUGAAAGACAAAGAUGAGAUGAUCUUUAAGGUCACUUCAACCCAAACCAUUCUAGGAUUUUAUGAUUCUGUGUGGUAGGGCUUUUUUUGCUGGCUGGAGCCCUUUUGGUGUGAUCUGGUCAUGCCCUAUUGUGAAUUUCUCUCACCUUCCAAAAUUGGAUGGCUAGAUCCCAGUUGCCAUUUGGAUAUUAUCCAUCCAUCCAUCCAUCUCUCUAUCUCUACCAGGCUACACCAACAAAUUAAACAGCAGCAGACACCUGCACAAGGCAGGAGAACUCAAUCCAUCUAUAGUCAACAAGGUACUGGCCUGGCUUAUCAUAGAAUCAUGAAAUGGUUUGGUUUGGAAGGCAUCUUAAAGAUCAUUUCGUUGCAACCCCCUGCCAUGGGCAGAGACACCUGCCACUGGACCAGGUUACUCUGGCUUGGAUCCAGGCAAACUAAAACUCUCCUGCACAAUUUCCAGGUGCACUUUAGGAGUUAUCAUGAGCCAGGGACAAUUUCCCAGGACAGAGAGCAAGACAGAGAAACAAACAGAAGGAAUGACCAGAGAAGAUUUGUUUCCUUACUAAAUCAGGUGACAACCUCAUCUAGAAACAGGAUUGCUAUAACAUGCAAGUGACUUCUUUUUUAUUGUUUAAAAAUAUUUCUUAAAAAGUUGCCUCAAAAUCUGGACUAUACACUGAUCAGGUAUGUUCUGUGGAGUCUUAGUCAGCUUCAUUACUUGUCUGCAUUUGGAAAGGGUGUUUCAAUUGAAAGCAAAAGAGAGAAAUGGUCUUUCAACUGUUUUUCAACUUUGUUUUGUAUUCUGCAAUCAUAGCAAAAAUCAACGGUAUUAUUCAUGCUGACAAGACUGAAAAUGAUGAAAAAUUAUGGAAAAGGAGUAGCCAAAGCUUUUUGUGUUUGCAAUGUUUUCCCUGGUUAAACAGGUCAUGUCCCUCCUAACCUGCUUUUGUAUUUUCCUUCCAGCUUAGAUUAUUCCAUCCUAAAAUACUUUAGGUUAUUCUUUUAAUAAUGUGAAAAACACGAGUGGCAUUUUAUGUGAUACUAAAAUUCUCUCCAGAAUUGAUUUUCCUCUGCAUGUUGCAGAGUACUAAAUCUAGUUUCAAGUGAAUUAAUGCAAGUACAAAAUACUCUUUCUUUUCCAUCAUUUUGCCUGGCACAAGUGACAAUUACACAGUAUACUGGAAGUGAUGGAGGCAUUCACCAAAUGGUAUGGACUGCUCAUUAGAGUAGGAUGAUUAUGAGGGUGAUUUAGCAGUCAAAAGGCUUUAUAUUUAGAUUUUUACUGUGAGGGUGAUGAGGCACUGGCACAAGUUUCCCAGAGAAGCUGUGGCUGCCCCAUCCCUGGAAGUGGUUAAGGCCAGUUUGGACCAGAAACUUGGUAUAGUGGAAGGUAUUCCUGCUUUCAUAAAUCUGUCUUCAUGCUUAUCUGUAUUUCUUUAUAGAGUUUUUGAGAACAGAAGUCCAAUUCUUGCCCCAAGCGGAGCUGCAUUCCCUAGUAGUUGAUGUGAGUCCGUACAGCUCAGAUAGAUCUGUUAAGUUCACAAAGUGCUCUGAGAUUUCAAAACAGAGCUAUUAUAGAAAUAGCCAUUGUUAUUCUUGUUUUUAAUAGCUGCUGACAGUGAAGAAUAUUUUGAGGGUAAGUGCCAAGUAAGAAGCUGUGUUUCUGAAUAGAGCUUUUCAAAUAUGCAAGGGCUCUAUUAUGUUUGGGGUAAUUUCAUGAGAAGCUUUAUGUUGGUUUGUCUGGACUAUCAUCCAAGAAACAUCUGGUGGGAGGGGAUCAGACUGACACAACAAAGACUGGCAGUGGUACUUACAUGUCCUCUUGUGGAGCCACUUUAUGAGUUUGGUUGUGCUCAAGAUGUUGCACAGUUCAUCUUUGCAAGGCUUUACCAAAUUUACUUGAGCUACGUGAAACUCAACAUUUCCAUUUCAUGGUAAAAGUCAAAGUUUCACAGUAUAUUUUCAUUCUCAGUAUGAGCAAACCCACAAGUACAAAACCUUUUUUGCCCAUUUAUAAAAGUGUUGCUUUAGAAUAAAUAUACAGAGAGAAACUUUGCUUUAAAAUAAAAUUAUUAGUUCAAAGUUUA
Long non-coding RNA from Pseudopipra pipra, 3520 nucleotides. RefSeq lists it as uncharacterized. The record is from RefSeq and is a predicted model, not a curated record. NCBI's taxonomy places the organism in Eukaryota, Metazoa, Chordata, Aves, Passeriformes, Pipridae. The transcript has 3 exons.